CCCUCAAAGAAGAAACUAUGAAAACCUUCAAUUGAACCCUAUAAUUGAUGAAGGAAACAUGUUGAUUAAAAAGAGUAAAACGCAUACCUUUUGAAUCUGCUCGGUGGUUAUGCUUGAAGGUGGGAAUGAAGGCAUCACAGGAAUCAUUUGCGGUGUUUGCUGCAUCUUUUUCGCCUUGUUAUUUUUAGUUUCCCUUAAAUUAAUAGAAAAGGAAAAAACCCUAAUUUCCACAAUCAACGAUUAAUAAACCCCAAAUCCAAGUUGAAACAUGUUAGUAACUAUUAUACAACACAAAACCCUUCGAAGUAAACAUAAAAAAUACAGUAACUUUAAGAGAAAGAGAGAAAAAAUGGAACCUGGGUAUGGGAAUUUGGGGAAAGGUGAGUGAUUGAAACACUUGUUAACUGGAUUGUGUUCUGAUUCUGAGGAUCUUUGAAGCCCUUUGUAGUGACGAGGUUUCUAGAAUUGAAGACAAGGGAACAACAUAAAAAAACAAGGAAUAGAUUAAGGGACAUUAGCAGCGUGAAUAAAAAGCUUUACCCAACCAAACAAAAAUUGCUGGUUGCUAUCUUACAUAAUCCAAUAUCAAUAUUCUUGUAAUAAUUUAGAAUUAAAUUGGUUUAUUUCUAAUUAAUGGAAAGAUAUAAUUGAGAUUAUUGGCAUUGAAUCACAUAAUUUUCUUGGUGCAUUGUAAAUAAAAAAACAACAAAGCUAAAACAAAAGAAAAAUAUCUAGGUCAAAACAAGUUUGACAAUCUACUAGAACAGAAGUUUAUACUUAAUGUUAAAUAUAUGAAUGAGAAUCAUAUAAUGAUUAUUGAGGUUUGAGUUUUGCUUCAAAUUUAUUUUUAUUAUUAAUGAACAAUAUUGAUUUUAAAUGGGUUACUAAUGAUAUGAUGGCUAUGAUUAUUUUAUGAUUUAUAUCGGAAAAUGAAUAAAAUAUGGUAACUAGUUAUUUAGAUUUAAUUAAAUAUUUUUAUUUAAUAAUUUUAGAAUAUUAUUAUAUUGUUUGACACACAUAUAAUUUUAUAUUAGAUAUUACGGAUUGAUGAAAGAUUUUAUAUUAGAUAUUACAGAUUGAUAAAAGAUUUUAUAAAUCAUAAAACUAUUUUCCUAAUAUUUUUGUUUAAGACAUGAUGUUUUAAUGAUCUUCACUCUUUCCAUAAUUUCCAUAAUCUAAUAAUAAUGAGAUUUAGUUGGAGUAUGGUUUAAGACGUGUGGUCACUAAGUUGAGAGACUUUUGUUGAGUACAAUAAGUAUGAAGUAUGAAAUAUGUGUUAGAUAUUUUCUGAUGAUUAGUGAAAUAUCAAUCAUAGGAUCUUGAAUUUCAUGAUUCUAACACAUUAUAUGUAAAAGAAGGAUACAAAGUCAUGCAUGAAUCCCUGAAUCCAUGUUCUCUGAUGUACUCCUUUGAUAUACAUUUUGAGAGAGUUUUGGUAUGAUGGUCUUCCUCAACCAAAUCCUGAAUUUCUUUUGGGACAUUCGUUUUCUCUCUGAUGAGGAGAUGUGAAAACUAUUUGUGAUUUGGUGUGUUGGGGGCCAUAACUUUCCUUAUGCGUUAACUUAUAGAGUUCUCAUUAUCCCUUAUAGGUUAACCUGAUGGGUAUCCACUCAUUAAGCUCAUAUAUAUUAUCAUUUUUUAGAAAUCUAUAGGGUGUUAGUAAUUCGAUCACUUAUAAUGUAACCCCAAAAUAAAUAGUUGAUAUCAUUGUAUCAAAUAUAUGAUACUCACCUUAAUUAGAAAUUUAUAAUUUCUAACAAUCUCCCACUUGGACUUCAUAUAUUCCUCAUACAAUUAUAUCAUAGGUUCUUUAGGCGUACAUCCGUAUGCUAUUUGCAUUUAGACUUCUCCUUAAUACAAUCUAAUCCAUUUCAUAUAUCAACUAUGGAACCACCGCGACUUUUAUCACAUUCAAACAUGACUCGGUCAUGAUGAUCACCAUAUCAAUAUAUUAAAUGAUAUAGAUCAAAUAUGGAUGAGUGACAUGGAAAUUUCAUGCAAUGUGACCUUAAACAUGUCUAUUUCCAACUGGUCCUUCUUUAUUCUUUAGUGAGAUCAAUCCAAAGUCUUUAAUUGCAACACAAUAGUUACAAUACAAAAGUUCAAACUAGAACAAUAAAUCAUCAACUUUAUUAUGCAUAAAACUAUAUAUGACGUCCAAAUUAUAUCAUAAAACAUAUAGACUCCCACUGAACUAAGGUAUCCUCGUGAAAUAUUUUAGGUAUCAAACCCUUAGUCAAUGGAUCAACUAGCAUAAAAUUUGUCAUUAUAUGUUCAAUAGAAAUUUGUCUAUUUUGAACACUUUCUUUAACAACUAGAAACUUAAUGUCAAUAAAAUUUGACUUCCAUGGUCUGAUGUUUCAAAACAAACCAUGAACUCCACAACCAUGGUUGAAGGAGCUAUGAGCGUCUGUUUAGCAGACUUCCAAGAGAUAGCACCUUCAGCCAAGAUAAACAUAUAUCCAUACGUGGAGUGCCUGUUAUCUAGACACCCAAAAAUUGAAGUCAGAGUACCUAAUGAUCUCUAAAUUCUCAAACAUUCGAUAAGUGAACAUGUACUCCUUUGUUCUCUUUAAGUAACGCCUAACCUGUUUGAUUGCCUUCUAGUGAUGCAUUAUAGAAUUGCUUAAUUACCUUUUCAAAAAUCCCACGACAAAGCUAUGUCGGGAUUAUACGCUUUGUACAAACUUGAAUAUACAUUAGACUUCCUACUACAGAUGCAUAAGAAAUCUUUUGCUUCUCGUAUCUUUCAAGGUCAUUUUUGGGAGACUGUUCGAGACUAAACUUGUCUCCCUUAGCUAUAGGGGUAUCCCUUGCUUUAUUGUCUUUCAUGUCAAAUUUAUUAGGACUUUAUUUAUAUAGCUUUCUUGUGACAACCUUAGGAUACCUUGAGAGCAAUCUCUUAGUAUCUGAAUACCUAAUACAAAAGAAGUUUCCCCAAGAUCUUUGAUUUCGAAAUUAUUCGUUAGAAAUCUCCUCGUCUCAUGCAAUAGUCCCAAAUCACUACUCGCAAACAAUAUAUCAUUGAUAUAUAAUACCAUGAAUAUAACUUUACUCCCACUGAACUUAUGGUAUACAUAAUCUUCAAUUUUAUUUUCCUCAAAACCAUACGAGGUAAUAACUUAAUGAAAUAUGUGAUUUCAUUGAUGGGAAGCUUGUUUAAGCCCAUAGAUGGAUUUCUCUAAUUUGCAUAUCAUGGACUUUGAGCUAGAAACACAGUCUUAACAUCCAUCUGAUGUAGUUCUAAAUCAAAAUGAGCUACUAGUGCCAAUAUUAUUCUAAAAGAAUCAUUCGAAGAUACUAGAGAAAAUGUUUCUUUAUAAUCAAUGUCUUCAUUCUGAGUGAAGCCUUUAGCAACUAGACGAGCUUUAUAUCUAUCAAUAUUACCCUCCAAAUCCCUCUUGGUUUUUAAUAUCCAUUUGCAACCAAUGGGUUACACACCUUCAGGUAAUUCGACAAGAUCCCAAACGUCAUUAUCAUGCAUAUAUUUCAUCUCAUCCUUCAUGACAUUGAUCUACUUUUGAGAGUUAGAACUUUUCAUGGCUUGAUAGAAAUUCAAUAAAUCAUCUUCUAUUAACCCAAUGUCAUCCUCAUGAUCUUGAAGAAAUACAAUAUAAUCAUCAGGAAAUGUACUUCUCCCCUCUCUAGUGGAUCUCCUUAAUGACAUUUCUACUUCUUGAGAUUGUUGAAUUCUUUCUAUAGGUAGUUGAGGGAGAAUAUCAUUAUUGUCUUGUUCUGAAAUAUUGUCAGGGACAAUAUUCUAAACAUUAUAUUCUAUUACCAAAUUUAUUCCUUGAAUGGUAAUAGGCACAAGUACUUGUUCACUAUCAGUGACAGGUUCUUCCUCAAAGACAACAUUCUUUAUGUUCUCUUCCUUCCCAAAAUCAACUUCCUCAAGAAAUCUUGCAUUUCCCGUAUAAAAAAAGAGUCUUGAAGUAGGAUCAUAAAAUUUAUAGCCUCGAGAGCGUUCAAUAUGACCAACAAAAUAACAGCUAACAGUUCUUGAGUUCAGUUUUCUUUCAUGCGGCCUAUAAGUUCGCGCCUCAGUAAUGUGCAAGUGUUUUAAGCUUGACUUUUUAUUAGUCCAAAGUUCAUAUGAGGUUUUGUUAACUGCUUUAUUUGGCACCCUAUUAAGGAUGUAAACUGCAAUCUUUUAAGCUUCCCCCCAAAGAGACUCUGGUAAGGAAGAAUGACUAAUCAUACUUCUCACCCUAUCCUUAAGAGUUUGGCUUCGUCACUCAACAACACCAUUCAUACUAGGUUUGCUUGGCAUAGUGUAUUGCAUAACAAUUCCAUGUUCUCUGAGGAAAAAACAUAAAUAGACCUUUCACAACAUCCUUAUUGUUUUUUCUUUUCUUAUUCUGAGAGGUCAUAGUCAAAUGAGCACUUUUAGUUUUAGCUCUCUACAAUCUCUAUUUCUCUUGCACACACUGAGAUAUAAACUCAAUGUGAGACCAUUUGUCCUUCUGAGUAUUAUAACUCAUUUUGAAUGGCCCAAAGUGUGGAGGAAACGAGAUCAAAACCAAGUGCACGAGCAAGUCAUCACCAAGCUCUAACUUAAGUGACUUGCGUUUUUGAUGCGAGAUUAGACAUAUCCAUAAUGCACUCCCUUAUGUUUGUAACACCGCGAAUUUUACGAUUUUGAAUUAUAAGAUUUUAUUAAUAUUUUUAUUAAUUAUAUAUUCGAAAAUGAAUUUAUGGGCAAUUUAGGUAAAGAAUUAGACAAAACUCUAGUUGAGUUUUAGUCUUGAAAUUUUAUUUCCAAUUUUGUAGUAAAUUUUGGUAAUUUUCGGAGACAGUCGGUUCUGGACCACUGUCUGGGCUGAAAUCCACCCGGUACGGCUCAAAAAGUGGUUUUUGAGUUCCGUAACUCGGAAUCGAAUUCCGAUCACACUGUUGGCUUCGUAAUUUUAUUUCGAGUCAAUAUAGACCCUGAAUACACCCAUACCUAUUUUCUAAAUAUUUUUCCCUCAGAAUGCCGAAAUCCGAAAUUCUAAUCAAAUAUUACGAUCGGGCGAUUUAUAAUAUUCGAUCGAGUAUUAGCCGAUGAUACUCGAGCAUGAUUAACACACGUAUCCGUGAGGGGUCAUUUCGCAUUGGGAUGCGAAAGUUGACUUCCAUAAAGUAAACCUUACAUCACUCAAUCUCACCAUUAGCCACCCUAGGAGAUUUUCCUGAUUGCAUAGGAGGGAAGACUUCCCUCUCCCCUUAAACCCUCAUACUCCCAACUUCACUCUAUCACUCUUGAAUUUUCAAAGAAGAGGUAAAAACCUAUCUUCAUUUUUCUCUCAUUUCUCUUUUCUUCUUCCAUCUUCAAACUUUGAUCUCUCAACAUUCAACCAAUGGAUGUUGAUGAGAUUUAAGUAUGUUGUUCAUGAACAUGUCAAGAACAUAUUCAACCGUUAAAAUUUUCUAAAACGUUUUCUAACNNNNNNNNNNNNNNNNNNNNNNNNNNNNNNNNNNNNNNNNNNNNNNNNNNNNNNNNNNNNNNNNNNNNNNNNNNNNNNNNNNNNNNNNNNNNNNNNNNNNUGGAUUACCGAAUUGCAAUGGCAUCUUUUGGGGGAAAAGUCCUGGUUGCUGAGCCAUUGCUGCAGCCUGAGGAUGUUGCAUAUAGAAACCUUGUUGCAUAGCGGGGUGUGGCGCCAUCUGCAAGUGUUCAAUACGUCGCAGCGAAAUCAACAUAAUGCGCAACUGUAAGAACUUCCAAGGGACCACCUAUCCUAUAAUUUUACCUGUGGAGGCAUGGUUGGUGUUUGUGGCUGGGCAUCAGCAAUUGCUGCUAAAUACAUUAAAUUUUUUUGAAGCUGAGCUUGAUACCUAAGACAUCAAAUCAUCGCACCACCAUUACAUAAAACCUUAGCAAAGUACACACAAAUACAUAAAAAAACAAAUGUUUGCAAAUAGACGACGACUAUAAUAUACUAUACAUUCAUAUUAUAGAAAUUCAACAACUUUCUAGUUGGUUUCGACUGCCUAACACAACUUUAUAUUUUAUUUGGAGCAUCAAGCACAAAUAAGCAGGUUUGAGUAUAAUAUACUAUACGAUUUAGAAGAUUGUCAAUUAAAUGUAGCUAGUGACAAGAACGAAUGAGUAAUUAGUAAUGCUAAGAGCCUCACCCAUUAUACAUGUGUAAAAUGUUAGGGAUCAGAUGAUGAAGAGACAAUCAACUGCUAGUUAAAAUCUGAACAAAUUAAAACACACAGACACAAUGGACAUCACACUUACUGGGCACAUUCAGCAAGUUUUCCAAGAUUUUGAUUGUCCAAUAUUGCCAGAAUCAGCUUCUUGUUUUCAUCAAGAUACUGCACAGGUGCCAAGACAGGGCACUCAGAUUAAUUAAUGAAAAUUCAAGUUGACUAUUUAUGUUUAAAAAAAUCAUAUCAUUUCAAAUGCGAGGGGAUGCGUAUCAUGACAAGUAGAUAUAUGGAUAAUGAGAAAAGAAACUUUCAGAGAACUAAAAGUUCUAUCCCGAUAGUUUGGCUAGUGCACAAAGGAUAUACAAACAAUUUCAUGACAUGAAAUCUCUUAAUGGAUCAAGUACACUAUACAAGUUCCAUAGAAAUCAAUACCAAUAUUAUUUAUGAUGCCCUCAUGCUUCUCAGUUUUCAAAGAUUUCAAUAUCAGGGAGGAUCCCAGUGAUGCCAGAUACUAUGUUGCCCAGGCAUGUGAUGAUAGGUUGUUUAACUAUGUUAUAUAGCACAACCAACAACCUUAUCAUAUCCAGAGAUUAAGAACCAAAUCCUACUGCUAUUAUAAAUCAACAGGUCUGGUGAAACUCAUAAUUAUUUGCAGUGAUCAAACUACACAUUAAAAAGAUCCAUGGAUGAUGGAUCAUAACUCCUCAAAAUGCCGUCACCCAGUUUCCAUCUCAUAAUUGCAAGAGAAUGAUGACAUGCUCAACUUAAGUUUUAUAUGCUAAAGUUGUCUUUAUUGAUCAUAUUCAACUCUAACACACAGGUCUCCUAUAUAAAAAGGCUUUCAGAAACACUAUAGGUAUCCCCGUUGCGACUCUUAUCCCAGGGAUGAAGGAACCAAGUGAGAUUCUGAUCUAAUCGGUAAGGGUUGAUUUGGAUGAGCUGUGAUGCAAAAUAUUGAAUUUUUAUGCUGUGGAUUCUGAAAGUUCAUCUGAAUAUGGGUUGCGGAUUGGAAAACUUUGUUGUGGUGGAAACACCUGCGUCUUGUCUGUUAUAGCCGCAAAUCUGUUCCAUUGCGGCCGCGACACUCUUCCGUUGCAGUCAUUUUCCAUGAUUUGGAGGCACCCUGUUAUAGUGGCUUCUUUUGGUAUUGUUAUCUCCCAAAACAAUUUUGUUUCAGUCGCAUUACAUGUUGCGGAAGGAUAUUUAAAACUCUGUUAAUUAGGUUCUCAGUGAUGCCAAAUAUUGUUUACUUAGAUGAUAUUUUAACAUGGAGUAAAUCACCCGCUCAAAUAAGACAUGGAUUAAAAUUACAAUUCCAGUUAGAUGCACACAACUCAUGUGCCGUAUCUUUUCAUAUCUUGGUGCAAGGAAUUAAUUGAGACAGAUGUCACUCUUGCCACAAACCUCACACAAAACCCUCCCAUUCCUUAGAUCAUUAAUCAAAGACUCAUUCCUACAUCUACAUAUUCACUAUUUUUAGGUUUGUAAUUGAAAUGAUCCAUUACAAAUUUACAAUCACCCAUUCCCUCAAUAUUAGAAAAUAGUCUCUCCCACAGACAGGUUCUAAACUUGGCUCAUAUCAUAUAUAAUAUAAGCAAGAAAUAGAUAUUACAUUAAUUUCUAGAAAAAGUAAAACUAUUUCCACACUAUAUGGCUAAAUUUAUUACAGAAGACCACAAAACCAAUCCAGUUGAAGAAUCAUCACCCCUCAAAGAAGAAACUAUGAAAACCUUCAAUUGAACCCUAUAAUUGAUGAAGGAAACAUGUUGAUUAAAAAGAGUAAAACGCAUACCUUUUGAAUCUGCUCGGUGGUUAUGCUUGAAGGUGGGAAUGAAGGCAUCACAGGAAUCAUUUGCGGUGUUUGCUGCAUCUUUUUCGCCUUGUUAUUUUUAGUUUCCCUUAAAUUAAUAGAAAAGGAAAAAACCCUAAUUUCCACAAUCAACGAUUAAUAAACCCCAAAUCCAAGUUGAAACAUGUUAGUAACUAUUAUACAACACAAAACCCUUCGAAGUAAACAUAAAAAAUACAGUAACU
Molecule: long non-coding RNA, 8172 nt
Filed under: Lupinus angustifolius (narrow-leaved blue lupine)
Lineage: Eukaryota; Viridiplantae; Streptophyta; Magnoliopsida; Fabales; Fabaceae
Description: long non-coding RNA (LANG_LNC001583)
Source: RNAcentral